This 114-nucleotide ribosomal RNA is filed under the name Zingiber officinale. Lineage: Eukaryota; Viridiplantae; Streptophyta; Magnoliopsida; Zingiberales; Zingiberaceae. The record is from RNAcentral.
GCGAUCAUACCAACACUAAUGCACCGGAUCCCAUCAGAACUCCGAAGUUAAGCGUGCUUGGGCGAGAGCAGUACUAGGAUGGGUGACCCCCUGGGAAGUCCUCGUGUUGCACCU